RNAcentral lists this ribosomal RNA (253 nucleotides) under uncultured bacterium. Its description in RNAcentral is "partial 16S ribosomal RNA". It matches the Rfam family "Bacterial small subunit ribosomal RNA", at positions 524 to 776 of the family's 1533-position model. The record is from RNAcentral.
UACGUAGGGCGCAAGCGUUGUCCGGAAUUAUUGGGCGUAAAGAGCUCGUAGGCGGCUCGUCGCGUCGGAUGUGAAAGCCUGGAGCUUAACUCCAGGUCUGCAUUCGAUACGGGCGGGCUAGAGGCAGGUAGGGGAGAACGGAAUUCCCGGUGUAGCGGUGAAAUGCGCAGAUAUCGGGAGGAACACCGGUGGCGAAGGCGGUUCUCUGGGCCUGUACUGACGCUGAGGAGCGAAAGCGUGGGGAGCGAACAGG